RNAcentral lists this ribosomal RNA (301 nucleotides) under uncultured bacterium. RNAcentral describes it as "partial 16S ribosomal RNA". It matches the Rfam family "Bacterial small subunit ribosomal RNA", at positions 509 to 809 of the family's 1533-position model. The record is from RNAcentral.
CAGCAGCCACGGGAAUACAGAGGGUGCAAGCGUUAAUCGGAAUUACUGGGCGAAAAGCGCGCGUAGGUGGUUCGCCAAGUUGGAUGUGAAAUCCCCGGGCUCAACCUGGGAACUGCAUCCAAAACUGGCGAGCUAGAGUAUGGUAGAGGGUGGUGGAAUUUCCUGUGUAGCGGUGAAAUGCGUAGAUAUAGGAAGGAACAUCAGUGGCGAAGGCGACCACCUGGACUGAUACUGACACUGAGGUGCGAAAGCGUGGGGAGCAAACAGGAUUAGAUACCCGGGUAGUCCCUGUCUCUUAUAU